AGUGUGAACAUGGAGAUGAAAAGGCAUGCCUUUUGAGUUCCCAGCCGAAGGGCUCGCGCUGUCAGGUUGUGCGGCCCGUCCAUCUCGGCCCCGUCGUCCCGCGGGCCCCAGCUGCAGACGUAGAUGUCGAUGAAGUGGAUGUUGAAGGUCAGAGCUGUGGCCUCCAUGGCAUCAGUGACAGAGCCGUCUAACAAGCGGAUACCUGGAUGGAUCGAAAAGCUCUGUUUCAGUCCUGACCAUCUCACCUGCACCAGCAGGACCAUCAACAUUAUCAAACACUCCUCUCACCCCUCCAAUGGACUGCUCAACCCACAACCAUCUACAGUAAGAAAAAGGUCUUACAGCUUUCCCCACAGGCGGCUAGGCUACUGAACUCUUUACUCCUCACAGCAGUGAGACUGAACCAAGACAGUAAAGUUGUAGGCUGGAAAAACCAAAACAAUGAGCUGAAAGACACUACAAAGUGCAGAGUCAGAACUGCAGAGUGAUAAUUAUUUGUGAAUUUGUUACGAGCAACCCCUUUUCACAUACAACUUAGCUUAGCUGCUAACUGUAGAUGGCACAUAUAAUUAGCACCACACAGACCCCCCCAGCAAAAAUGCAUAUAAAUUAAAAAAAUAAAACUUCAUAAUAUUAAAACCUUACUUUUGCUUUCUUGUUUACAAUACAUUAUCAUAACUGCCCCAGUGCAUAUAAGUAGGCAUGAAUAACAAUGGUCAGCUCUGCACCCUGUGUAAAACUGCCUUGGUCCCCUCUUGCUUUACACCAUGUCUGUACUGUCCAGUUCCUUUUUACACUGAACUGAGGAGCCAUUUCAGAUCAAAUGUAAAUGUGAAUUUCCAGUGAAAGACAUUUUCAGAAGAGCUUGUCUGGUGACUGUAUUAUUACAAAAUGUUUAUCUCUUCUACGAAUUGUCUUUUAUAAUCUUCUUGCAAUGAAAUGCAUUGCAAAUGAACAAACAUCACAGGCCUAAUUUGUCUCCUUCCUGUUGAUUCAUCACAUUCACGACAUCCGAACUAACAGGACUACAUAAAUUUAGUUUCAAGUAAAUUUUCCAAACAGAAGCACACAGAGAAGUAAAGCUCAGGUAAUCCUCGCUGUCAGAAAGUGAGCACAGGUCUCAACUGCACCCAGUAGUUCAACAUGCAUCUUUCAGUUGGGUCUUGCCCCUUCAUCACAUGUGCGCAAGAAUCUGUUCAUGAGUAAGGUUAAAAUAGACUCGGCAAGGUGAAAUUAAGAAAAACUGUGGAAAGAGAUUCCUAGUCUUGCCUCACAAACAGUUAGUUUCCCCUUUUUGUCAAUUCUGCAAGAGGUUCUCAUCAGCUUCUGACAAAUAGGGGAGGGUCAAGGGUUAAAGAUCACAGAGUUCAACCGAGAGAUUAAUUUCUUCAUACGCCACGUUUCAUGCAGAUGACACCGCUGUAUGACAUUGGUUUUGAGCCGUUCAGAUAUGAGUGCUGUGGGAAAUCGCCUUACUCACACAUAUCAUGUACCACUCAUUAACUUGUGGUUUAUAGCACUCUUAGUGUAACUUGUAAAAAUCUUUGAAAAUGGGCUACCUUUUGUGUAUUUGGUUCAUUCAUCCCUCGCAAAUGUUACAUUGCGAGGGAUGAAUGAACCAAACGUCUGAAACCAACACUAAAAAAGUCAUUAUUGAAGCUCCCACUAAAAAAUGUGCUGUUAAUUAGGGUGAACACGGCAAUAGCAGCCAGUCACCCUGUAGUCUGUUGCAUUCACACAAACCCGAAGCGACACAUAAACACAAAAUUCACAAAAUGUGCAUGUGCAUUGCUUUAAAUUACAUACAAAUAUUUCUGAACAAAUCAAAACUCCAUCUUAAAGAUUGGCAUUUAAAUAAAACUCUGUUAUGUCACUAUCUAUCACCGAAUGAGGUAACACAAUGGUGACUGAGUCCAUGGCAGAAAAGGUGAAAGCCCCUGCAUUUGCAGCAUCACGAACUGAGUGUCGGCAUUCCCGGCAUAAAUGCUGAAUUAGGUUACUGCUAAUGCAAACCGAAAAUUUCCUACUGCUGCAGCUUCACAUUAAAAGCAUUAAACUGGUGAAACUGCAUUUGCUGUUACCACCAGUAACUACGGAUGUUGUUGAGUUAUUUUAGGACUAGUAAUCACUGCAGGAUGUGGGCCAAAAAAUCAGUGCAAUGAAAUUUGAAUGAAUGAAUGAAUUUUGUUCAAUUGUACAGGUCUUUGCAUAAAUGAAGAAACGAACGACACACCGUCGCUCACAACCAAAUACACCUUUUUACUGUUUUACAGGCAUUUCUUGAUCAGAUUCUAGCUGCUUUAUAAUGUAAUUUUAUCAUUAUGCAUUAUCGCAAUAGUGACAAGGAUUAGUGGCCUACUACAAGUGCUUUUGACAAACCAUUCUCAUAGCCUCCCACUGUCUCGAUAAGGCUAUAUUGUUUUCCUCACCUCCGAUCCUGGCAUUGAAGGCGAUGCCCACACCGCAGUAGGAGUUGUUGGCCUCCAUGGCAACUUCCCCUGCACACCGGGUACCGUGACUGAAACAGAGGGGAAUAAGAUGUUAGCCACACACUGAGAAUGAGAUGCAGAGAUGUGAGUUUUCUUUUUUUGGACAUGUUGACUUGAGCACACCCCAAAUUAAGCCUGGACAGACAAUUACAUUCAGUAUAUCCUGAUUUUGAAAAUGGUACAGACACGCACCGAGAUACUGCUCAAACGAAGGACAGCAUUCUGCAGCUGAUUGCUUAUUCAUACACAGCACUUAAAAUAUUGUAAUAUUUCCUAGCUUGACCCAAUACAUGUGUAACUGUUUGUAUAUGUACUAGAUUCUUAAAAUAUGUUUAACAUAUUUACCAUGACAUCAUUUUGUGAUAUUACAUUGUGAGUACAAUAUCCUACAGUGGGCAAAUUGACCGUUUGCUAAGCUCUUAUUUACUAUUGCUAAGCCUGUUAAGCUUUCUGUUCUCUCACGGCACAAGAAAUGUAGAGCUAGUAAGUCCUUGUAAUUUAAUAAAGACUUUCAUCUUACA
Molecule: long non-coding RNA, 3010 nt
Organism: Micropterus dolomieu (smallmouth bass)
Lineage: Eukaryota; Metazoa; Chordata; Actinopteri; Centrarchiformes; Centrarchidae
Exons: 2
Source: RefSeq, a predicted model, not a curated record